AGAGUUUGAUCCUGGCUCAGGACGAACGCUGGCGGCGCGCUUAACACAUGCAAGUCGAGCGACGAACCAGCCCUUCGGGGCUGGGGAAAGCGGCGAACGGGUGAGUAACACGUGAGUGACCUGCCCUCGGCAUCGGGAUAACUCCGGGAAACCGGAGCUAAUACCGAAUGGCCUCCGGAGUUUUCGGGCUCCGGAGAAAAGGUAGCUUCGGCCUCCGGCCGAGGAUGGGCUCGCGGCGGAUUAGCUUGUUGGUGAGGUAAAGGCUCACCAAGGCUGCGAUCCGUAGCUGGUCUGAGAGGAUGGCCAGCCACACUGGGACUGAGACACGGCCCAGACUCCUACGGGAGGCAGCAGUGGGGAAUCUUGCGCAAUGGGCGAAAGCCUGACGCAGCGACGCCGCGUGCGGGAAGAAGGCCUUCGGGUUGUAAACCGCUUUCAGGGGGGACGAAGCCACUCGGGUUAAUAGCCCAGAGGGUGACGGUACCUCCAGAAGAAGCCCCGGCUAACUACGUGCCAGCAGCCGCGGUAAUACGUAGGGGGCAAGCGUUGUCCGGAUUUAUUGGGCGUAAAGAGCGUGUAGGCGGCCAGGUAGGUCCGAUGUGAAAACUCGAGGCUCAACCUCGAGAGGUCAUCGGAAACCAUCUGGCUAGAGUCCGGAAGAGGAGAGUGGAAUUCCCGGUGUAGCGGUGAAAUGCGCAGAUAUCGGGAAGAACACCUAUAGCGAAGGCAGCUCUCUGGGACGGUACUGACGCUGAGACGCGAAAGCGUGGGGAGCGAACAGGAUUAGAUACCCCCGUAGUCC
RNAcentral lists this ribosomal RNA (802 nucleotides) under uncultured Actinomycetes bacterium. RNAcentral describes it as "bacterial SSU rRNA". It matches the Rfam family "Bacterial small subunit ribosomal RNA", at positions 8 to 796 of the family's 1533-position model. Lineage: Bacteria; Bacillati; Actinomycetota; Actinomycetes. The record is from RNAcentral.